RNAcentral lists this ribosomal RNA (502 nucleotides) under uncultured bacterium. RNAcentral's name for it is "partial 16S ribosomal RNA". It matches the Rfam family "Bacterial small subunit ribosomal RNA", at positions 29 to 523 of the family's 1533-position model. The record is from RNAcentral.
AACGAACGCUGGCGGCACGUUUUAAGCAUGCAAGUCGAACGGCAGUGGGGGCAACCCCAUGAGAGUGGCGAACGGGUGAGUAACACGUAGGUGAUCUGCCUUUGGGUUGGGGAUAGCUUGUGGAAACACAGGGUAAUACCGAAUGAGCUGACGAGGCUUUGGCCAUGUUAGUAAAGGUGCUACGGCACCGCCUAGAGAGGAGCCUGCGGCUGAUUAGCUAGUUGGUGGGGUAAAGGCCUACCAAGGCGACGAUCAGUAGCCGGCCUGAGAGGGUGUACGGCCACACUGGAACUGAGACCCGGUCCAGACUCCUACGGGAGGCAGCAGCUAAGAAUCUUCCGCAAUGGGCGAAAGCCUGACGGAGCGAUGCCGCGUGAUCGAUGAAGGUCGAGAGGUUGUAAAGAUCUUUUCCAACUGAGGAAUAAGUGGACCAGGGAAUGGGUUCAUGAUGACGUUAAGUUGGGAAUAAGCCCGGCUAAUUACGUGCCAGCAGCCGCAGUAA